AUCUCCAAAACCACCCCAUGUACACCCUCCCUAUGUUCCAAAACCUCCUCACUACCCUAAACCACCAGUUCAUCCACAUCCACCCCAUGUCCCAAAACCUCAUCCAAAGCCUCCAGUGCAUCCCCAUCCACCUUAUGUCCCAAAACCACCAGUUGUGCCAGUUACACCACCAUAUGUUCCAAAACCACCAAUUGUGAACCCUCCCUAUGUCCCAAAACCGCCUGUUGUGCCAGUUACACCACCUUAUAUCCCUAAACCACCAGUUGUGACACCACCAUAUGUCCCUAAACCACCAGUGGUGCCAGUUACACCACCAUAUGUCCCUAAACCACCAGUGGUGCCAGUUACACCACCUUAUGUGCCAAAACCACCCAUUGUGAAACCACCAAUUGUUUAUCCACCAGUUGUGCCAAAACCACCAAUUGUUACACCACCUUAUGUGCCAAAACCACCCAUUGUGAAACCACCAAUUGUUUAUCCACCAGUUGUGCCAAAACCACCAAUUGUUACACCACCUUAUGUGCCAAAACCACCCAUUGUGAAACCACCAAUUGUUUAUCCACCAGUUGUGCCAACACCACCUAUUGUGUAUCCACCUGUUGUACCAACUCCACCGGUGGUUACUCCACCCGUGGUUACACCACCAAGUCCUCCAAGUGAAACACCAUGUCCACCACCAC
This 680-nucleotide long non-coding RNA is filed under the name Glycine max (soybean). RNAcentral's name for it is "long non-coding RNA (GMAX_LNC002768)". Lineage: Eukaryota; Viridiplantae; Streptophyta; Magnoliopsida; Fabales; Fabaceae. The record is from RNAcentral.